GACGAACGCUGGCGGCGUGCUUAACACAUGCAAGUCGAACGGAAAGGCCCUGCUUUUGUGGGGUGCUCGAUUGGCGAACGGGUGAGUAACACGUGAGUAACCUGCCCUUGACUUUGGGAUAACUUCAGGAAACUGGGGCUAAUAUCGGAUAGGAGCUCCUGCUGCAUGGUGGGGGUUGGAAAGUUUCGGCGGUUGGGGCUGGACUAGCGGCUUAUCAGCUUGUUGGUGGGGUAGUGGCUUACGAAGGCUUUGACGGAUAGCCGGCCUGUGAGGGUGACCGGGGACAAGGGGACUGAGGGAGGGCCCAGACGGCAACGUGAGGCAAUGGGGGAAAGUAUUGCACAGUGACCGCGAGUGAGAGACGGCGGCGUCCGGUUCGUAAUGCCGUGUUUCGGGUUAAGAACCGCUGUCGCCGGAGACGAGGCGGUAGUGACGGUAAUGAGUAAAGAAGCACCGGCUAACUACGUG
RNAcentral lists this ribosomal RNA (468 nucleotides) under uncultured bacterium. Its description in RNAcentral is "partial 16S ribosomal RNA". It matches the Rfam family "Bacterial small subunit ribosomal RNA", at positions 28 to 507 of the family's 1533-position model. The record is from RNAcentral.